RNAcentral lists this ribosomal RNA (501 nucleotides) under uncultured bacterium. RNAcentral describes it as "partial 16S ribosomal RNA". It matches the Rfam family "Bacterial small subunit ribosomal RNA", at positions 30 to 523 of the family's 1533-position model. The record is from RNAcentral.
AUUGAACGCUGGCGGCAGGCUUAACACAUGCAAGUCGAGCGGGGGAAGGUAGCUUGCUACUGGACCUAGCGGCGGACGGGUGAGUAAUGCUUAGGAAUCUGCCUAUUAGUGGGGGACAACAUCUCGAAAGGGGUGCUAAUACCGCAUACAUCCAACGGGAGAAAGCAGGGGAUCUUCGGACCUUGCGCUAAUAGAUGAGCCUAAGUCGGAUUAGCUAGUUGGUGGGGUAAAGGCCUACCAAGGCGACGAUCUGUAGCGGGUCUGAGAGGAUGAUCCGCCACACUGGGACUGAGACACGGCCCAGACUCCUACGGGAGGCAGCAGUGGGGAAUAUUGGACAAUGGGCGCAAGCCUGAUCCAGCCAUGCCGCGUGUGUGAAGAAGGCCUUAUGGUUGUAAAGCACUUUAAGCGAGGAGGAGGCUACUUUAGUUAAUACCUAGAGAUAGUGGACGUUACUCGCAGAAUAAGCACCGGCUAACUCUGUGCCAGCCGCCGCCGUAA